AUUGAACGCUGGCGGCAGGCCUAACACAUGCAAGUCGGACGGUAGCACAGAGAGCUUGCUCUCGGGUGACGAGUGGCGGACGGGUGAGUAAUGUCUGGGGAUCUGCCCGAUAGAGGGGGAUAACCACUGGAAACGGUGGCUAAUACCGCAUAACGUCGCAAGACCAAAGAGGGGGACCUUCGGGCCUCUCACUAUCGGAUGAACCCAGAUGGGAUUAGCUAGUAGGCGGGGUAACGGCCCACCUAGGCGACGAUCCCUAGCGGGUCUGAGAGGAUGACCAGCCACACUGGAACUGAGACACGGUCCAGACUCCUACGGGAGGCAGCAGUGGGGAAUAUUGCACAAUGGGCGCAAGCCUGAUGCAGCCAUGCCGCGUGUAUGAAGAAGGCCUUCGGGUUGUAAAGUACUCUCAGCGGGGAGGAAGGCGAUGUGGUUAAUAACCGCAUUGAUUGACGUUACCCGCAGAAGAAGCACCGGCUAACUCCGUGCCAGCAGCCGCCGUAA
Molecule: ribosomal RNA, 504 nt
Filed under: uncultured bacterium
Lineage: Bacteria
Description: partial 16S ribosomal RNA
Rfam family: Bacterial small subunit ribosomal RNA
Source: RNAcentral